GAGUAUAUAUGACUUGGCCUAAAAGUUUUUGCUUCACUAAUUUAACUAUUGCCGUGGAUGAAACAAGCAUGGCAACAUUUUCAACUAUCACUCAAGCAAUGUAAAAAAUGGAGGUUCUACGAGCGGUACAUGUAAGAGUUUUGUGCACACAAGAGGUUCUGAGACUUGAACCAUCCAUGUCCAAGGCAGUUGAGAUGCUAGUAAAGAAAGAAGAAGAUGAGCCUGCACAAAUUAAUCCUCCCUGUAUGAAUGAGAGAAUGAGAAAAAGAUGGAGCUUCAUGAACCAAAAGU
RNAcentral lists this unclassified non-coding RNA (291 nucleotides) under Hevea brasiliensis (rubber tree). The record is from RNAcentral. Lineage: Eukaryota; Viridiplantae; Streptophyta; Magnoliopsida; Malpighiales; Euphorbiaceae.